This 388-nucleotide ribosomal RNA is filed under the name uncultured eukaryote. Its description in RNAcentral is "SSU rRNA". It matches the Rfam family "Eukaryotic small subunit ribosomal RNA", at positions 587 to 981 of the family's 1831-position model. The record is from RNAcentral.
AGCUCCGGUAGCGUAUAUUAAAGUUGUUGCGGUUAAAACGCUCGUAGUUGGAUUUCUUUUGGGGACGACCGAUCCGCCCCUCGGGUGAGUAUCUGGUUCGGCCUUGGAAUCUUCUGGAAGAGACUUGUGCACUUCAUUGUGUGUGGGUGGAUUCUGGGCUUUUACUUUGAGGAAAUUAGAGUGUUUCAAGCAGGCUUACGCCUUGAAUACAUUAGCAUGGAAUAAUAAGAUAGGACCUUAGUUUUAUUUUGUUGGUUUCUAGAACUUUGGUAAUGAUUAAUAGGGAUAGUUGGGGGCAUUCGUAUUUAACUGUCAGAGGUGAAAUUCUUGGAUUUGUUAAAGACGAACUACUGCGAAAGCAUUUGCCAAGGAUGUUUCAUUGAUCAAG